Heterocephalus glaber (naked mole-rat) is the source of this 309-nucleotide unclassified non-coding RNA. It matches the Rfam family "Metazoan signal recognition particle RNA". From Rfam's summary of the family: The signal recognition particle (SRP) is a universally conserved ribonucleoprotein. It is involved in the co-translational targeting of proteins to membranes. Lineage: Eukaryota; Metazoa; Chordata; Mammalia; Rodentia; Bathyergidae. The record is from Ensembl.
GCCGUGGUAUGGUGGAGUACACCUGUAGACCCAGCUACUCAAGAGGCUGAUGUGAGAGGAUCGCUUGAGUCCAGAAGUUCUGGACAACUGUGUGCUAUGCCAAUCUGGUGUCCACACUAAGUUUGGCAUCAAUAUGAUGACCUCCAGGGAGCGGGGGACCACCAUGCUGCCUAAGGAGGAGUGAACCGGCCCAGGUCGGAAACAGAGCAGGUUGAAACUUCCAGGCUGAUGAGUAGUGGGAUUGCACUGGUUCAUAAUUGUCAUGCUAAAAUAUUAUGUGUGGCUCUUGAUUUGAAGUUCUUUUUUUUU